UACGGGGGGGGCAAGCGUUGUUCGGAAUUACUGGGCGUAAAGGGCUUGUAGGUGGCCAACUAAGUCAGACGUGAAAUCCCUCGGCUUAACCGGGGAACUGCGUCUGAUACUGGAUGGCUGGAGUGUGGGAGAGGGAUGCGGAAUUCCAGGUGUAGCGGUGAAAUGCGUAGAUAUCUGGAGGAACACCGAUGGCGAAGGCAGCCCCCUGGGUCAAGACUGACGCUCAUGCACGAAAGCGUGGGGAGCAAACAGG
This 253-nucleotide ribosomal RNA is filed under the name uncultured bacterium. RNAcentral's name for it is "partial 16S ribosomal RNA". It matches the Rfam family "Bacterial small subunit ribosomal RNA", at positions 524 to 776 of the family's 1533-position model. The record is from RNAcentral.